GGGGCUGUGGCUCAGGGGUAGCGCACUCGCCUGGCAUGUGUGAGGCCCUGAGUUCGAUUCUCAGCACCA
RNAcentral lists this transfer RNA (69 nucleotides) under Ictidomys tridecemlineatus (thirteen-lined ground squirrel). RNAcentral's name for it is "Spermophilus tridecemlineatus (thirteen-lined ground squirrel) tRNA". It matches the Rfam family "tRNA". From Rfam's summary of the family: Transfer RNA (tRNA) molecules are approximately 80 nucleotides in length. Their secondary structure includes four short double-helical elements and three loops (D, anti-codon, and T loops). Further hydrogen bonds mediate the characteristic L-shaped molecular structure. tRNAs have two regions of fundamental functional importance: the anti-codon, which is responsible for specific mRNA codon recognition, and the 3' end, to which the tRNAs corresponding amino acid is attached (by aminoacyl-tRNA synthetases). tRNAs cope with the degeneracy of the genetic code in two manners: having more than one tRNA (with a specific anti-codon) for a particular amino acid; and 'wobble' base-pairing, i.e. permitting non-standard base-pairing at the 3rd anti-codon position. The record is from Rfam by way of RNAcentral. Lineage: Eukaryota; Metazoa; Chordata; Mammalia; Rodentia; Sciuridae.